This 278-nucleotide ribosomal RNA is filed under the name uncultured bacterium. RNAcentral describes it as "partial 16S ribosomal RNA". It matches the Rfam family "Bacterial small subunit ribosomal RNA", at positions 506 to 784 of the family's 1533-position model. The record is from RNAcentral.
UGCCAGCCGCCGCGGUAAUACAGAAGCCUCAAGCGUUACCCGGAUUUACUGGGCGUAAAGGGUGUGUAGGUGGCGUGAUUAGUCGGGUGUUAAAUCCUUGGGCUCAACCCAAGGCUCGCAUUCGAAACGGUCAUGCUGGAGGAAGUGAGAGGUGUGUGGAACUCACGGUGUAGGGGUGAAAUCCGUUGAUAUCGUGGGGAACACCAAAAGCGAAGGCAGCACACUGGCACUUUCUGACACUGAGACACGAAAGCGUGGGUAGCGAACGGGAUUAGAUA